RNAcentral lists this ribosomal RNA (1167 nucleotides) under Rhynchoscolex simplex. RNAcentral's name for it is "eukaryotic LSU rRNA". It matches the Rfam family "Eukaryotic large subunit ribosomal RNA", at positions 50 to 997 of the family's 3401-position model. Lineage: Eukaryota; Metazoa; Platyhelminthes; Stenostomidae. The record is from RNAcentral.
GGGGGGUACGAGGAAUAACAGCAGGAUCUCGUAGUAACUGCGAGUGAAGUGGGAGAAGCCCAGCGCCAAGGUUCUCGGCCCUGUGGUCGACGAACGAUGCGGCGUUUGGCACGUACAUUGUGCGUCGGACGGAGUGACAAAGUUCCCUUGACUGGGCUCGUGCCCCAUAGUGGGUGUGAGGCCUUUAGUUGCUCGUGUGCCGGCGUACCUAGUGCGUGUCUAGAGUCGGGUUGUUUGGGAGUACAGCCCAAAGUAGGUGGUAAACUCCAUCUAAGGCUAAAUAUGAGCACGAGUCCGAUAGCGAACAAGUACCGUGAGGGAAAGUUGAAAAGCUCUUGAAAAACCGUGUUCGGUAUUGCUUGAUAUUGACUACAGGACAGCGGACAUGGACAUCUGAAUCCGCCAGUGAGAGUGUAAUGCCUCUACUGCGCAAUCAGCCGGCCCUGAAAAUGGAUGGUCACUGCGACUACUGCGGCCUGGCCGUUCGUGGGUCGUUGCGACGUACUUUCGACUGGCGUAUGGUAGCCGCGACCAAUUGGCUGAGGUGCCAAGUGUGCGAGGAGGUAGCCACGGGUGCUCCUUGUGGGUGCUGCUAACGUCGGUGAUGCCUCGUGCAUUGGACCAACUUCGGUCGAUUGGGGAGCGACUGCGGUGUACGCAUCCUUUGAGGGUGCUUGCUGCUCGGCCGGGCAGGGACGCGUCUUGGUGGACUGCCGUGCAGUGCUCUGGGGCGUGGACCGGUCGCGGGUUGAGUGUGUUAGCGAAAGCGAGGUGCACUGCUGGUCAGCGGCUUGUUGGACGCCUAUCCGUCCCGUCUUGAAACACGGACCAAGGAGUUGAACAUGUAGGCGAGUCCUUCGGUUCUCGAAACCAGGAGGCGCAGUGAAAGCGAAAUUAGCCAAGAUCCGCUGUUUCGGCAGUGGCGCAUUGGCGACCCAUCACAUGGUCGCGUGCCUGUGGUGGAGUUUGAGCCUAUACGUUCAGACCCGAAAGAUGGUGAACUAUGCUCGAGCAGGAUGAAGCCAGAGGAAACUCUGGUGGAGGUCCGCAGCGAUUCUGACGUGCAAAUCGAUCGUCUGACUUGAGUAUAGGGGCGAAAGACUAAUCGAACCAUCUAGUAGCUGGGUCCCCGCAAAGUUCCCCUCAGAUAGCUGGUACUCGAGGGCA